UCCCUCAGUGCUGGGGGGUGCCGGGGGAGGAUGGUCCCCGAGGGGGUCGCUGGGUGUUGGGGGUGUCCUGAGGGGACGGGCCCUGAGGGGGUCCCUGGGUGCCGGGCAGGCCCUGAGGGGGGUCCCCGUGGUGCUGGGGGGGGAGGGUCUUUGGGUGCUCGGGGGGCUGUCAGGGUGGGGAGGGUCCCAGGGAACCGCGGCUGUGUGGGGGGGAUGUUCCGGUGCCCCUCUUGUAGUGGGACCAGGAGCAGGUGCAGGGCCCGGGGGCUGCUCGGGGCGCGUUGGGCUGGGGGGGUCGGAGGGGUCCGGGGGCUCCGCGAGGCCGUGCAGGGGAGCCCCGGGGUGCCGGGUCCCGGCCACGCUCACUCACCGGCUGCUCUCCUCUCUCCGCAGUGGCGCAAGAAGCGAAUGCGCAGGCUGAAGCGCAAGAGGAGGAAGAUGCGGCAGAGGUCCAAGUAGGCGCCGCGCCCGGCCCCGGAGCCCCGGAGCGGAGGAGCCGCGGGGGAGCUGCACGGGGAGCUGGCGGCGGGGCCGCGUGGGGACCGGGGCUGCGCUGUGUAACGGCCCCGGGGCCGCCAAUAAAGCUUGGAUGUGUUCGUUGGACGCGGGCUGCUGCUGCUGCUGGGGGCGAGGGGGGCGGGGGGGGGGCGCCGGUAGGGACCGGGGGGCACCGGGGGCAGGGACCGGGCACCGGAUCCCGGGUGCUGGGGCC
This 712-nucleotide long non-coding RNA is filed under the name Anas platyrhynchos (mallard). RNAcentral describes it as "lncRNA (ENSAPLG00020013645.1)". The record is from RNAcentral. Lineage: Eukaryota; Metazoa; Chordata; Aves; Anseriformes; Anatidae.